This 892-nucleotide ribosomal RNA is filed under the name uncultured bacterium. RNAcentral describes it as "bacterial SSU rRNA". It matches the Rfam family "Bacterial small subunit ribosomal RNA", at positions 505 to 1398 of the family's 1533-position model. The record is from RNAcentral.
GUGGCAGCCGCCGCGGUAAUACGAAGGGACCUAGCGUAGUUCGGAAUUACUGGGCUUAAAGAGCACGUAGGUGGUUAAAAAAGUUGGUGGUGAAAUCCCAGAGCUUAACUCUGGAACUGCCAUCAAAACUUUUUAGCUAGAGUAUGAUAGAGGAAAGUGGAAUUUCUAGUGUAGAGGUGAAAUUCGUAGAUAUUAGAAAGAAUACCAAUUGCGAAGGCAGCUUUCUGGAUCAUUACUGACACUGAGGUGCGAAAGCAUGGGUAGCGAAGAGGAUUAGAUACCCUCGUAGUCCAUGCCGUAAACGAUGUGUGCUAGACGUUGGAAAUUUAUUUUCAGUGUCGCAGCAAAAGCAUUAAGCACACCGCCUGGGGAGUACGACCGCAAGGUUAAAACUCAAAUGAAUUGACGGGGACCCGCACAAGCAGUGGAGCAUGUGGUUUAAUUCGAAGAUACGCGCAGAACCUUACCAACACUUGACAUGUUCGUCGCGACUUUAAGAGAUUAAAGUCUUCGGUUCGGCCGGACGAAACACAGGUGCUGCAUGGCUGUCGUCAGCUCGUGUCGUGAGAUGUUGGGUUAAGUCCCGCAACGAGCGCAACCCUUACUUUUAGUUGCCAUCAUUUAGUUGGGCACUCUGAAAGAACUGCCAGUGAUAAGCUGGAGGAAGGUGGGGAUGACGUCAAGUCCUCAUGGCCCUUAUGUGUUGGGCUACACACGUGCUACAAUGGCAUUUACAAUAGGAAGCGAGAUGGCGACAUCAAGCAAAUCCUAAAAAAAUGCCUCAGUUCGGAUUGUACUCUGCAACUCGAGUACAUGAAGCUGGAAUUGCUAGUAAUCGCGGAUCAGCGCGCCGCGGUGAAUACGUUCCCGGGUCUUGCACACACCGCCCGUC